RNAcentral lists this long non-coding RNA (596 nucleotides) under Ananas comosus (pineapple). Its description in RNAcentral is "long non-coding RNA (ACOM_LNC034129)". The record is from RNAcentral. Lineage: Eukaryota; Viridiplantae; Streptophyta; Magnoliopsida; Poales; Bromeliaceae.
GUUUGAUAAUAGAUACGAAUUAGAGAGUUGAGCUGAAAUGGUAUUGAUAGUAAACGGACUAUAUUGUCACUAAUUAAUUUGUUUUCGCUAAUGGAGCCUCCAAAUCAACGAUCGGUAUCGUUGAACAUAAUAUAUACCAAUUGAAGUAUUUAGAAAUAAAAUUUUAAUUCUUUUCGAUAUAAUUAACCUAAUGAUUAAAAAAUUUCAGAAUUUAUAAUUUUAAUAGUCGAUAUCAGACGUUUUCUCGUUUAAUAGUUUAAAAAUAUUCAAAUUAAUUGAAUUUUGAUUUGAAAAUUUUUUAAACUAUUUAGAAUAAGAUCUACAUUCUGGAUCUUGAUUACAAGAUUCCUAUCAUCACUUUUUAAAGAAUAUUUGUUUUCAGUCGUUAUUUUUAUGCCCACUUGAUGGACAAAAAAAUAAUAUCGAAAAAGUAUGAAAUUUAAUUUUUAGAUGCUUUAAGUGGUAUAGAUCAUAUUCAACGGUGCCAAUCAUCAAUUUGGAUGCUCCAUCAUUAAAAACAAAUAAAUGACAAUGAAAUCCGUUUGCUACCAGUAGCAUUCCAGUUCAACUCACAAAUUAGAAUGCUAACAUAUAUA